UUCUCUAUAUGUACAGAGACAAGGCGGGU
Molecule: non-coding RNA, 29 nt
Filed under: Rattus norvegicus (Norway rat)
Lineage: Eukaryota; Metazoa; Chordata; Mammalia; Rodentia; Muridae
Source: RNAcentral